RNAcentral lists this ribosomal RNA (393 nucleotides) under uncultured bacterium. RNAcentral's name for it is "partial 16S ribosomal RNA". It matches the Rfam family "Bacterial small subunit ribosomal RNA", at positions 523 to 918 of the family's 1533-position model. The record is from RNAcentral.
AUACGGAGGAUGCGAGCGUUAUCCGGAUUUAUUGGGUUUAAAGGGUGCGUAGGCUGUGCGUUAAGUCAGGGGUGAAAUGCCGUCGCUCAACGACGGAGCUGCCCUUGAUACUGGCGUGCUGGAGUACGGAUGCCGUUGGAGGAAUGAGUGGUGUAGCGGUGAAAUGCUUAGAUAUCACUCAGAACACCGAUUGCGAAGGCAUCUGACGAAUCCGUCACUGACGCUGAGGCACGAAAGCGUGGGGAUAGAACAGGAUUAGAUACCCUGGUAUUCCACGCCGUAAACGAUGAUGACUAACCGUCGGCGAUAGACAGCCGGUGGCCAAGCGAAAGCGAUAAGUCAUCCACCUGGGGAGUACGUCGGCAACGAUGAAACUCAAAGGAAUGGACGGGG